GGCCGGAGGGUGGUUUGUGGCUGUCAGUUGUAACAUUGUUUCCCUCUUCUCAUUAGCAUCAGCCUUCAGAGUCAACCACAACAGACAGACGGGAAAUAUUUUAUAAGAGGCCGCAGAGAGACAUAGAAGUGUGCUGGGAACAGUUGAGAGGUGGCGUCUCUUCCAUAAGUAAUGGAAUCACAAGGAGUCUUUAAACAACAAAUGACUUUUAAAGUAAUCUCAGCAUAUAGUGCUGAAGUCAGCAGAACGGAUUCUCAUUAAAGGACAGAAACAUGACAUCACUCGAGAAGACAGUUCAGCACGAAAACCCUGAUGAGACUCUGCCAUCCCAUGGAAGUUCAGCCUGAAGAGCUAAGACAUCAUGCAAUCAUACUGCUGCCAUCCCUCCAGGAAAGCUCUCUCCAAGCAAGAGUCCCUAAAGCCAACAAAGGAGUGUCAUCCAGAGUGUGUGAAGAAAAAAUUCA
Non-coding RNA from Mus caroli (Ryukyu mouse), 464 nucleotides. Lineage: Eukaryota; Metazoa; Chordata; Mammalia; Rodentia; Muridae. The record is from RefSeq and is a predicted model, not a curated record.